RNA transcript from Rosa chinensis, 1366 nucleotides. It is a transcript of the gene named (-)-isopiperitenol/(-)-carveol dehydrogenase, mitochondrial, with no coding region annotated. The record is from RefSeq and is a predicted model, not a curated record. NCBI's taxonomy places the organism in Eukaryota, Viridiplantae, Streptophyta, Magnoliopsida, Rosales, Rosaceae. The transcript has 2 exons.
AACCAUCCAGUCACGUAACUACUAGUGCUAAAGCUCAGCACAAUGACACAGCCCAUACCAGUACCACUGCAGAAGCUCCACGGCAAGGUGGCCAUAGUCACCGGCGCCGCAAGCGGUAUCGGAGCAGUCACGGCGCGUCACUUUGCAGACCACGGCGCUCUGGCCGUCGUGAUCGCCGACGUCCAAGACUCCAAGGGCCGACAAGUGGCUGCAUCCAUCGGCUCCCACCGCUGCACCUACGUCCACUGCGACGUCACCAACGAGGAUCAGGUCAAGUCCCUGGUCGAGUUCACGGUCAAGCACUAUGGCAGCCUCGACGUCAUGUACAGCAACGCUGGGAUAACCAGCACGUCGGCGCAGACGGUGCUGGAGCUUGACCUGUCUGGGUACGACAGAGUGAUGGCGGUGAACGCGCGCGGAAUGGCGGCUUGUGUGAAGCACGCGGCGGGUGCUAUGGUGGAGAAGGGGGUGAAGGGGAGCAUAGUGUGCACGGCGAGCUUCGUGGCGGACUGCGGGACGGAGAGCUUGACGGACUACACGAUGUCCAAGCACGCCGUGUUGGGGCUGGUGAGGUCGGCGAGCGUGCAGCUAGCGCCGCGUGGUGUGCGCGUGAACUGUGUGUCGCCGGGUAUGGUGGCGACGCCGCUGAUGUGCGACAUAUUGAAGAUUAGUGCGGAAGAGCUGCGGGAGACGAUGGCGGCGGUUUAUUUGGGAAGGGAUGAACCGCUGACGGAGAAGCACGUGGCGGAUGCGGUGGUGUUCCUGGCUUGUGAGGACUCGGCGUUCGUCACCGGCCAUAAUUUGGUGGUUGAUGGUGGACUCGGCACCAAGUCCAUAGCUGUAUUGAAACAAUGAUGAUACGUACUACAGGACUCUGAUUUGUCGCAACAGUAUCGAAGUACUUAUGUUAUGAGCUGAUCUGAGCUCAAUAAGUCAAAUAGUGAAUAAACAUGGAAGAAGAACAAUUUGGUGUUACAUAUUCGGAGUAUCGGAUCAGAAAAUGAGAAAUGGCAGUGAUGGAUUAGUGUUUGUAGGAGUGAAUGAACAAAAAGACGAAGAAUUAGAGCUACCUGAUGCAGAUGACUAUGGUGGACUGAGUGGAAACCUGGGGCUUCAAGUUUGAGCUUUCAUCAGCGAAGAUUUGAGGAAUAGCAACGUCCAAUUUUUUGAAAUUUCAUAUGUUUCCAUGGUAGCAGGCGUGAGCUGUUUUCAUUAUUUGGGUUCCCGACCUAGAACUGUUGACACGGGUUUCAUCUCGCUCGAUAAAAUUGAAACUUUUGAAAGUUGGGUUGCCCCGGGUCGAGUCAUAGAUUCAAGUUUCAGGGAGAAAAAAAAAAGACCAAACGACGUCAUCGAUGUGGAAUGG